Molecule: ribosomal RNA, 854 nt
Filed under: uncultured bacterium
Lineage: Bacteria
Description: bacterial SSU rRNA
Rfam family: Bacterial small subunit ribosomal RNA
Source: RNAcentral
AGUCGAGGGGCAGCAUGGUCUUAGCUUGCUAAGGCUGAUGGCGACCGGCGCACGGGUGAGUAACACGUAUCCAACCUGCCGUCUACUCUUGGCCAGCCUUCUGAAAGGAAGAUUAAUCCAGGAUGGGAUCAUGAGUUCACAUGUCCGCAUGAUUAAAGGUAUUUUCCGGUAGACGAUGGGGAUGCGUUCCAUUAGAUAGUAGGCGGGGUAACGGCCCACCUAGUCAACGAUGGAUAGGGGUUCUGAGAGGAAGGUCCCCCACAUUGGAACUGAGACACGGUCCAAACUCCUACGGGAGGCAGCAGUGAGGAAUAUUGGUCAAUGGGCGAUGGCCUGAACCAGCCAAGUAGCGUGAAGGAUGACUGCCCUAUGGGUUGUAAACUUCUUUUAUAAAGGAAUAAAGUCGGGUAUGCAUACCCGUUUGCAUGUACUUUAUGAAUAAGGAUCGGCUAACUCCGUGCCAGCAGCCGCGGUAAUACGGAGGAUCUGAGCGUUAUCCGGAUUUAUUGGGUUUAAAGGGAGCGUAGAUGGAUGUUUAAGUCAGUUGUGAAAGUUUGCGGCUCAACCGUAAAAUUGCAGUUGAUACUGGAUGUCUUGAGUGCAGUUGAGGCAGGCGGAAUUCGUGGUGUAGCGGUGAAAUGCUUAGAUAUCACGAAGAACUCCGAUUGCGAAGGCAGCCUGCUAAGCUGCAACUGACAUUGAGGCUCGAAAGUGUGGGUAUCAAACAGGAUUAGAUACCCUGGUAGUCCACACGGUAAACGAUGAAUACUCGCUGUUUGCGAUAUACGGCAAGCGGCCAAGCGAAAGCGUUAAGUAUUCCACCUGGGGAGUACGCCGGCAACGGUGAAACUCAA